RNAcentral lists this transfer RNA (71 nucleotides) under Actinomycetota bacterium. Its description in RNAcentral is "tRNA-Gln". It matches the Rfam family "tRNA". From Rfam's summary of the family: Transfer RNA (tRNA) molecules are approximately 80 nucleotides in length. Their secondary structure includes four short double-helical elements and three loops (D, anti-codon, and T loops). Lineage: Bacteria; Bacillati; Actinomycetota. The record is from RNAcentral.
UCGGGGAUGGUGUAAUGGCAGCACGGGUGGUUUUGGUCCACCAAGUCCGGGUCCGAAUCCUGGUCCCCGAG